RNAcentral lists this unclassified non-coding RNA (744 nucleotides) under Dermacentor andersoni. RNAcentral describes it as "splicing factor, arginine/serine-rich 19-like". Lineage: Eukaryota; Metazoa; Arthropoda; Arachnida; Ixodida; Ixodidae. The record is from RNAcentral.
AAGCUGACAACGACAACGGGGAGACCGCGGGAGCGAGUACCGACGGAAGACCGAGGCCGAAGGAGUGCGCCGAGCUGCUGCCGCCAUGGCGCAGGAGGAGGGUAGAGCCAACAAGGAAGCGGCCUCGCGCAAGACGAACCGGGCGAAGCGAAAGCAGGCUGCUGCCGACGGUGGUGGCAGUCCUCCUCACUACGCCACCGCCGUCAAGUCGCCGCGUGCAAGACCUGCCACUAAGGACCCGUCUCCACCAACGACGAGGUCUAGGUCGGUGAAGCCGGCAGCGCAGAAAGCCAUCACCACCAGCACUUCUGCUAAGACAAGAAAGGCCUCCGAUGACCCGGCACCAGACGCCGAUGAGAACGUCCCGUCCACCAGCAAGGGACGCCCACAAAGGCCCCCAGAGUGAGCCGCAAGACUCGCGCACGGAGCUCGUCCCAGAGCCAUGCCUCCUCGGCCGCUGCCAAGGGUACCAAGCGUCGCCACCGCUCGCGUAGUCACCGCUCCGGCAGCAGCAGCCACCAUGCCACGGGGGGAAGGAGCCGUGGCAGAUCCCGACACUCGUCCCGCAGCGGCUGAGGUGGCCGCAAGCACAAAGGCAGUCGCCGAGGGACGUUCACCAGCGACUCGUAGAGCAGCCGCAGCAGAAAGAGCGGACGCAAGAGCCGACGCCACCGCUCAGUGAGCAGCUCGUCUGCAGCGAAUGCCAGCGUUGACGGCGGCACAAAAAGGCGCCGGCACGCCCGG